This 3575-nucleotide long non-coding RNA is filed under the name Marmota monax (woodchuck). Lineage: Eukaryota; Metazoa; Chordata; Mammalia; Rodentia; Sciuridae. The record is from RNAcentral.
CGACGAGGCAGUUCCGGUCGGCGCAGGCGGCCCCCUCCCGCUCGGAAGGUGAGUGGGCGCCGGUCCGCCGGGUCCGCCCUGCCCGCGACGUCCCGCGCGGUGACUGCGGCCGUCGCUGCACGCGGCCCCAAGGCGGCGCGGGGAGCAGCCCGGGUCGGGCGCGGGAGGAGGACGGGGCCAGCGCAGGCCACGCCCGCUGCCCGCGGCGCCCGCUGCCCGCUCCUGCAGAAGGCGCGUUGCUGCAGACCUCCCGCGCCGCAGUGUGGAAGAAAAACGCUCUCACGCUGGACGCGAGCCGUUCGUGCAAACCAAGUUAAGGAACAGUGUUUGGCCCCAGAUGAGUCUCGGGGUGUGGCGGGCAGGCCGGACUUGGGGGUUGCCCCCUGCGGCCUGCGACUCUGCAGGGCGGGAGGAAGAGCUUCCUGGGAUCUAAUCUAGCACCUCCGUGCCCCAGCAGGCAUGUUCAGCUUUUCACCCCCCCAGGGCCAGGAGCCCCCGGAUAUGGUACAGGAGGUUCCCCUGGAAGUGUCAGCAUGCUCUUAUGGUGGGUGAAGCCUCGGGUUGGAAGGACAUUCAGGAUCUUUUGCUGAAGAACUUGGGGUCAGUCACUGCAGGUCUGCUGAUGCUGUCCAGGUGACGUCCUAAUAGGAUUUCACAUUGAACAAAACCUCCCAGGUCCUUGAAUCGCCUCCUACCACAAGCUGGGCACCUCUCCACUUGCCCUUACCUCUUGGCAUCCUUGUGUUCCUGAAUGAGGAACACUGUGUCAUAUGGGGCUGCUUAGGACCUGGUGUGUUGUCCCCUCUCCCCACAGACUUCUCCACCACCCUCAUCUGCCUUGAUUUUCAUUUUCUUCAGGUCCCAGGUGCACACACCUUCAGGAAGUCUCUGGAAGAUGGCGGCUCUAGGAGCUGUUGAGGAAGUUCUUCCUGUCCCAUCUCCCAUCAGUCUGUCAUCAUCAGGGACACCUGGAGCCCGGCACCACACAGCACAGCUUCACCUCCACAGUCAUCCACACGGUACUCAUCUGGCCCACUGUGUUCCCUCUGCCCUACCUCCACACUAUGGAGCCCCCAUCUGACCCAGCAACCCAGCUGGCUGAGAGGCAGCAGCAGACAGUUGUGCAGCUUCUUGGAGGCAGGGGCCUGAGAGGCAGCGCUAGGUCAGGACUCAGCCGUGGGAGGAGACCAAACCCAUGUCUGGCUUCCUAGGAAAAAGCCCCUGGGACCAUGGGACCAUUUCUUCCCUGGUGUAGAAAGAGUAGCCUCAGAAUCUGGGUCUGGUGUGAGCAGGAGUGAGCCAGCACCCCCAGCCCUGUCUGAAGCUGUGUUCCCAAGCAGGAGAAGAGAGCCCAGAGUUGUUGCUAGGCUGCUUUGGGUAUGGAACCUGUGGGACCUGCAGGGAUGGAGCCAUUGGCCUUGGUUUUACCCACAGUGUGUGUCUUUACUGGUCACAAGUAAGGAGCAGGCAGGGUGCACUGUGCCCCUGGCACACCUGGCUCUUGGGUCAUGGUGUCCUGAGGCUUCCUCUCUGUGUUGGAUAGCCAGGCUCAGUGCUCCUAAGAGCCUGAGCCAUUGACAGCAAAGACAAGGUCCCUCGUAAGGUAUGUCCUGGCAGCCUGCACCUAUGUUUAGAAGCUGGUGAAAGGUCCAGGAAAACAGCCUUCCUGGUGCCCAAGGUUCUCAGUCUUGGCUGUUCUUGUUAGUCUGUCUACUGGCAUAGUGACGCUGAGGCUUGUGGAGCAUGACUGCUGUACCAGGUCUAGGAUGAGCUUUUCAAAGCCCAGCCACAGCCUUUCACAUGCACACUCACAGAUAAGGACAGAGAGGACACCAAUAGCCAGGAAAUCACAUGGUGCAGCACAGGCCAAAAUGGGAGUUGUGAGCUCUGCGUCUGCUGCCUGACGGCAGGACCUUUUGCCCCUGCCCAUCCCCAGGAUAUUGCUGGGAAAGUACUUCUUUGGAGCACCUUGCAGUGGUUCCUGUGAACUAGGUGGAAUGUCUGGAAGGACCUCAGACUUAUUCUGUGCCGAGCCUUGUGGGGCCACCCCUACCACCAUCUCUUUCUCCUCUCCGGUGGUUUCUGGACCUUCAAGGGCCCCUGGCCUGUGCCCAGGGCCUGCGUCUCAGAGCCCAGAGCUGAGCCCCUUUGCCAUCUGGUUUCUCAGGAGUGCUCCAAGGCCCACAGAUCCCUGACAGACCCCAGUGUUUCCAGAACCUGCCCAGGGUUCCCCUGCCAGUUAGAAUUCGAGCCAGAACUUCUUAGAGCCAAUCCUUCCAGCUUCCAAGUCAGAGUCUGAGAUGAGCCAGAGGAAGCCCACCCAGGAGCCCUGAGUCCCAGUGAUCGUCAGAAGCCCACCCCAUACCCAGUCACUCCUAGAGACUCUCUGGCUGGGCUCAUACUGGGCACUUGGUGUCCUUGCAAGAGGAGCUGGCUCCUUCCUCCUCAGAGGAAAUGAAGGAUGCAGGGGGUUCAUUAAGCAGGGUGCUCAGCUGUCCCUGUGGGCAGCAGGCUGAGAUCCUGUGUCCGAAGCUGAGACCACCUCCUGGCUGGUCCCAGCCUCUUAGAGCAGGCUAGGAAGCAGGUGUAGGACAUAGUUGUUCUUCUCCCAGGACCUCUGUGUUCCUACAUAGACACAGGUCAGGGGCCAUGGCCAGUUUUGGGGUGCUGAGGGUCUGACACAGCUCCUCAGGGUCUGUGUUGUAUCAAUAUAGGGGCAGUGGAGGGCAGUGGGGCCUUCUGAUGGGGGCAUGGGAAGGAGGCCAGGCCAGAGACUGCCCAGCUUUUGUCUGCUUACAGAGCAAGGGAGGGUAAGUCCCAAAGCCAGGUUCUCAGGAGGGCUUCCUGGGGCAGCUCUUGACCAAGCCGGGGAGGAGGAGAAAGGGUACUCCUGGCUGGGGAGGCUCCUGGCAGUGGCACGGAGUCAAGCUGCCCUGCUCUUCUAGAGGUGCUGGGGAGGUGUAUCCGUGGCAGUGGAGGAGGUGGUGCUGUGUGUUAAGGGCUUGGCCCAGGAGCACGUGGCAUCCUGUAGGUGCCCUGGGCAAGUGGGGCUGAUUCCAGGGGAGGCAGCACUCUGGAGGGUGGGGCCUGAGCCAUAGCCCCCAACCCCUAGGCUCUCCCAGCUCCAACCCUGAGGUGCUCUCCCAGCCAUCAGAACUGGAUCUCCAAGACCUAGAGGAAGUGGAGAUCGGCAGAGACACCUGGCUUGGUGAGUGAGGACCACUGCCCACCCUACCCCGGCACACUGAGCACGUUUCCCAUUGCCCUGGAGCUCCUGAGCACCAGGCUCUGGGUAUUCCCACUGCUGUGGCUGGCGGCUGCUAUCUGAGGUUGGGCAGCUGCUUCCAGGGAGUUGGGCUACAGUACAGUUGUCACUGAGGCCACCGCCACCCCAUGGAGCUCUCUGAGCAGGUAUGAGCUCAUUGGAUCUUACCCGUCUGGCAUGGCAGGCUUCAAGAGAGGCUUGUUUCUUGUCCCUCAGUACUUGAGCCCAAAGGAUCAAAGUUCCAGAUCCUUGCCAGUCCUUAAUGUCAACCCUUGGGCCACCUCCUCCCAGCUCAGAGUAGACAUGCAGG